UACGUAGGGUGCAAGCGUUGUCCGGAAUUAUUGGGCGUAAAGAGCUCGUAGGCGGUUUGUCGCGUCUGCCGUGAAAGUCCGGGGCUCAACUCCGGAUCUGCGGUGGGUACGGGCAGACUAGAGUGCAGUAGGGGAGACUGGAAUUCCUGGUGUAGCGGUGAAAUGCGCAGAUAUCAGGAGGAACACCGAUGGCGAAGGCAGGUCUCUGGGCAUGUCCUGACGCUGAGGAGCGAAAGUGUGGGGAGCGAACAGG
Molecule: ribosomal RNA, 253 nt
Filed under: uncultured bacterium
Lineage: Bacteria
Description: partial 16S ribosomal RNA
Rfam family: Bacterial small subunit ribosomal RNA
Source: RNAcentral